AAAUCCUGAUAGACCGUCAGUCUUGUUUCUUCUACAUGAAGGUGUCGAGGACUUACAGGCUCGGGAUGAACGCUUUGCAGGACGAGUCCAGUGGGACAAAGACGUCCUCAGAGAAGGACGACUCAGAUUUUACAUCUCCAGACUCCAGACUAAUGACUCUGGGCUGUACUUGUGUGAUGUGAUUACAAGUUAUGGGAAGAACUUUAAGCGAUGUCACCUCAAUGUCACUGCAUUGAAGGAUCUCCCUAAACCUGAGACGACGAGUAAUACGAGUCUGAGAGGAGAUCCUCUGGGAAGAAUCGGCCUCUACUGUGCACUGGGAUUAGCAGCAGCAGCUCUUC
Molecule: long non-coding RNA, 341 nt
Organism: Pungitius pungitius (ninespine stickleback)
Lineage: Eukaryota; Metazoa; Chordata; Actinopteri; Perciformes; Gasterosteidae
Exons: 2
Source: RefSeq, a predicted model, not a curated record